RNAcentral lists this ribosomal RNA (1024 nucleotides) under Ceratosphaerella castillensis. RNAcentral describes it as "eukaryotic LSU rRNA". It matches the Rfam family "Eukaryotic large subunit ribosomal RNA", at positions 50 to 1083 of the family's 3401-position model. The record is from RNAcentral. Lineage: Eukaryota; Fungi; Ascomycota; Sordariomycetes; Magnaporthales; Ophioceraceae.
GCGGAGGAAAAGAAACCAACAGGGAUUGCCCCAGUAACUGCGAGUGAAGCGGCAACGGCUCAAAUUUGAAAUCUGGCCACCCCUGCACGGGGAGGUCCGAGUUGUAAUUUGCAGAGGAUGCUUUGGGCGAAGGCCGCCAACCGAGUCCCCUGGAACGGGGCGCCACAGAGGGUGAGAGCCCCGUAGCGGUUUUGGCGGCCGGGCCCGUGUGAAGCUCCCUCGACGAGUCGAGUAGUUUGGGAAUGCUGCUCUAAACGGGAGGUAAACUUCUUCCAAAGCUAAAUACCCGCCAGAGACCGAUAGCGCACAAGUAGAGUGAUCGAAAGAUGAAAAGCACCUUGAAAAGGGGGUCAAACAGCACGUGAAAUUGUUGAAAGGGAAGCGCCCGUGACCAGACUCGGCCGCGGGGGGAUCAUCCGCCGUUCUCGGCGGUGCGCUCCCCCCCGACCGGGCCAGCGUCGGCUUCCUCCAGGGGACAAAGCCGCUAGGAACGUAGCUCUCUUAGGGGAGCGUUAUAGCCUGGUGGGUAAUACCCCGGGGGGGGCCGAGGACCGCGCUCAGGCAAGGAUGCUGGCAUAAUGGUCACCGGCGACCCGUCUUGAAACACGGACCAAGGAGUCAAGCAUUGGGGCGAGUGUCAGGGUGUUAAGCCCUAACGCGCAGUGAAGGCGAACGCCGGUGAGAGCAGUAAUGCGCAUCACCGACCGAUCCGGAAGCUUGCGGAAGGAUUUGAGUGGGAGCCUCAACGCUUGGACCCGAAAGAUGGUGAACUAUGCCUGGAUAGGGUGAAGCCAGAGGAAACUCUGGUGGAGGCUCGCAGCGGUUCUGACGUGCAAAUCGAUCGUCAAAUCUGGGCAUAGGGGCGAAAGACUAAUCGAACCAUCUAGUAGCUGGUUACCGCCGAAGUUUCCCUCAGGAUAGCAGUGCUGGCGCUUCAGUUUUAUGAGGUAAAGCGAAUGAUUAGGGACUCGGGGGCGCUGUCGCGCCUUCAUCCAUUCUCAAACUUUAAAUAUGUAAGAAGCCC